AUUUAAAUAGCUUAUCUAGAGCAUAAUAUUGAAGAUAUUAGGGAGAUUUUAUUAAUCUUUAAAUA
This 65-nucleotide transfer RNA is filed under the name Sanfilippodytes vilis. RNAcentral's name for it is "tRNA-Phe". Lineage: Eukaryota; Metazoa; Arthropoda; Insecta; Coleoptera; Dytiscidae. The record is from RNAcentral.